AAGUCGUAACAAGGUUUCCGUAGGUGAACCUGCGGAAGGAUCAUUGCCACACACGAUCCAAGAUCGACACAAUAUGUGAACUGUCGAACCGAUAUUGAUUCUGAGUUCUUUCGGGAGCUUGGGGUUGGUAUUGGUUCACCCCUAACACUUUUAAACAAACAUGAACAAUGCAUAGGAACUAAAUGUUAUGUUGAGUUUGUCUUGACAUGACGACUAGAUUAUAAAUUGUAAAACAACUUUUAACAAUGGAUAUCUAGGCUCUU
RNAcentral lists this unclassified non-coding RNA (263 nucleotides) under fungal sp. RNAcentral describes it as "partial internal transcribed spacer region". The stretch from base 1 to 46 matches the Rfam family "Eukaryotic small subunit ribosomal RNA", at positions 1786 to 1831 of the family's 1831-position model. Lineage: Eukaryota; Fungi. The record is from RNAcentral.